RNAcentral lists this ribosomal RNA (540 nucleotides) under uncultured bacterium. RNAcentral describes it as "bacterial SSU rRNA". It matches the Rfam family "Bacterial small subunit ribosomal RNA", at positions 777 to 1314 of the family's 1533-position model. The record is from RNAcentral.
AAUAGAUACCCAGGUAGUCCAUGCCGUAAACGUUGGGCACUAGGUGUGGGGGACAUUCCACGUUUUCCGCGCCGUAGCUAACGCAUUAAGUGCCCCGCCUGGGGAGUACGGCCGCAAGGCUAAAACUCAAAGGAAUUGACGGGGGCCCGCACAAGCGGCGGAGCAUGCGGAUUAAUUCGAUGCAACGCGAAGAACCUUACCAAGGCUUGACAUGUGCCAGACCGCCUCAGAGAUGGGGUUUCCCUUCGGGGCUGGUUCACAGGUGGUGCAUGGUUGUCGUCAGCUCGUGUCGUGAGAUGUUGGGUUAAGUCCCGCAACGAGCGCAACCCUCGUUCCAUGUUGCCAGCACGUAGUGGUGGGGACUCAUGGGAGACUGCCGGGGUCAACUCGGAGGAAGGUGGGGAUGACGUCAAAUCAUCAUGCCCCUUAUGUCUUGGGCUUCACGCAUGCUACAAUGGCCGGUACAAUGGGUUGCGAUACUGUGAGGUGGAGCUAAUCCCUAAAAGCCGGUCUCAGUUCGGAUUGGGGUCUGCAACUCCG